Small nuclear RNA from Callithrix jacchus (white-tufted-ear marmoset), 89 nucleotides. Its record names the gene U4. It matches the Rfam family "U4 spliceosomal RNA". Rfam says of the family: U4 small nuclear RNA (U4 snRNA) is a component of the major U2-dependent spliceosome. The structure of U4 snRNA from yeast and human has been reported. NCBI's taxonomy places the organism in Eukaryota, Metazoa, Chordata, Mammalia, Primates, Cebidae. The record is from Ensembl.
ACCUUUGCGCAGUGGCAGUAUCGUAGCCAAUGAGGUUUAUCCGAGGCGCGAUUAUUGCUAAUUAAAGAAUACUGGAUUGUAUAAAUAAA